GAUGAAGAACGUAGCGAAAUGCGAUAAGUAAUGUGAAUUGCAGAAUUCAGUGAAUCAUCGAAUCUUUGAACGCACAUUGCGCCCCCUGGUAUUCCGGGGGGCAUGCCUGUCCGAGCGUCAUUACAACCCUCAAGCUCUGCUUGGUGUUGGGCCCCGCCGCCCCGGCGGGCCCUAAAGUCAGUGGCGGUGCCAUCCGGCUCCGAGCGUAGUAAUUCUUCUCGCUCUGGAGGUCCGGUUGUGUGCUUGCCAUCAACCCCCAAUUUUUUUCAGGUUGACCUCGGAUCAGGUAGGGAUACCCGCUGAACUUAAGCAUAUCAAUAGCGGAGGA
Molecule: unclassified non-coding RNA, 328 nt
Filed under: soil metagenome
Description: partial contains 5.8S ribosomal RNA, internal transcribed spacer 2, and large subunit ribosomal RNA
Rfam family: 5.8S ribosomal RNA (bases 1-120)
Source: RNAcentral